This is a small nucleolar RNA of Vigna unguiculata (cowpea), 107 nucleotides long. The record is from RefSeq and is a predicted model, not a curated record. Lineage: Eukaryota; Viridiplantae; Streptophyta; Magnoliopsida; Fabales; Fabaceae.
AAUCUAUUAUUAGGACAUUUUUUAGAAACAACUAGAAAUCUUUCCCAUGCUUCAUAAAAUGGUUCCUCUUACCCUUGCCUGAAAGUAGAAAUAUUAGAUUUAGUACU